This 492-nucleotide ribosomal RNA is filed under the name uncultured bacterium. RNAcentral's name for it is "partial 16S ribosomal RNA". It matches the Rfam family "Bacterial small subunit ribosomal RNA", at positions 29 to 507 of the family's 1533-position model. The record is from RNAcentral.
AGUGAACGCUGGCGGUAGGCCUAACACAUGCAAGUCGAACGGCAGCACAGUAAGAGCUUGCUCUUACGGGUGGCGCGUGGCGGACGGGUGAGGAAUACAUCGGAAUCUACUUUUUCGUGGGGGAUAACGUAGGGAAACUUACGCUAAUACCGCAUACGACCUACGGGUGAAAGCAGGGGAUCUUCGGACCUUGCGCGAUUGAAUGAGCCGAUGUCGGAUUAGCUAGUUGGCGGGGUAAAGGCCCACCAAGGCGACGAUCCGUAGCUGGUCUGAGAGGAUGAUCAGCCACACUGGAACUGAGACACGGUCCAGACUCCUACGGGUGGCAGCAGUGGGGAAUAUUGGACAAUGGGCGCAAGCCUGAUCCAGCCAUACCGCGUGGGUGAAGAAGGCCUUCGGGUUGUAAAGCCCUUUUGUUGGGAAAGAAAAGCAGCAGGUUAAUACCCCGCUGUUCUGACGGUACCCAAAGAAUAAGCACCGGCUAACUUCGUG